AUUUUUAUUGCAUGCCUGUGUGCAGGGGCUGAAAUGGGGAGCCAAAGUUCACCUAGUGUCUACCCUCCAGGAGCUCACAGAAUGAUCUGGGGAUGGCCAGGGGGUCUGUGAGAUGUGUUGCAGUGAGCCCGCGUGUGUGGCAGUGUAAAUCGGCACAGUGGACAGGGAGCCCUCUGGAUGCCAGCACAGCAGGAUUCUGAUGAGGUCACUCCCACAGGUCAUGCUCAACCAGGGGCCUUUUCUUCCUGGAAACCUACUGGAAGGAAAAACUAUGUCCACACUAGAAGGGAAAUUUUGGCACCCAAAUCUGUGACUAGCUUAUGAACCUUCAGUUUUCAGAACUGAUUUUUGCAUUUCUCAAAGUGUAACUCUGCCACCUGCACCAGCAUGGUCCCAAGCUUGAGUUAAAAAAAAAAAAAAGACUGAGGACACUGCCCCAGAAGAGACUGAAUGGGAAGCAUCCCAGGUUGUUUCUUAUCCUCAAGAAAGUUUUAAAACUAUUGGUUCAAUUCAUCUUCAUAGAUGUGGAAAUUUUCUUCUACAUUUCUGUUUCAGAAGAUUCCUACCAGAUUAGGAAGA
Molecule: long non-coding RNA, 579 nt
Organism: Symphalangus syndactylus (siamang)
Lineage: Eukaryota; Metazoa; Chordata; Mammalia; Primates; Hylobatidae
Source: RefSeq, a predicted model, not a curated record